UGCCAGACUCCUACGGGAGGCAGCUGUGGGGAAUAUUGCACAAUGGGCGAAAGCCUGAUGCAGCGACGCCGCGUGAGGGAUGAAGUAUUUCGGUAUGUAAACUUCUAUCAGCAGGGAAGAAAAUGACGGUACCUGACUAAGAAGCCCCGGCUAACUACGUGCCAGCAGCCGCGGUAAUACGUAGGGGGCAAGCGGUAUCCGGAUUUACUGGGUGUAAAGGGGGCGCAGACGGCCAUGGCAAGCCCGGUGUGAAAGGCAGGGGCAUAACCCCUGGACUGCACUGGGAACUGUCAGGCUGGAGUGCCGGAGGGGGAAGCGGAAUUCCUGGUGUAGCGGUGAAAUGCGUAGAUAUUAGGAGGAACACCAGUGGCGAAGGCGGCUUACUGGACUGUAACUGACGUUGAGGCUCGAAAGCGUGGGGAGCAAACAGGAUUAGAUACCCUGGUAAAU
This 450-nucleotide ribosomal RNA is filed under the name uncultured bacterium. RNAcentral's name for it is "bacterial SSU rRNA". It matches the Rfam family "Bacterial small subunit ribosomal RNA", at positions 329 to 794 of the family's 1533-position model. The record is from RNAcentral.